RNAcentral lists this long non-coding RNA (1263 nucleotides) under Anas platyrhynchos platyrhynchos (common mallard). RNAcentral describes it as "lncRNA (ENSAPLG00000019516.1)". Lineage: Eukaryota; Metazoa; Chordata; Aves; Anseriformes; Anatidae. The record is from RNAcentral.
GGACAUUUCAGGGGACACGGAUGUUUUGGGGGACUUGGGGACAUUCUGGGGGACAUUUUGGGGACCCCCCCCACACGUACCUUGGGGCUGGAGGAGCCGGCGCCUCCUCGAGGGCGGAGCUGGACCCGGGCGCCCUCCGGUGGCUCCUCCUCCUCCUGGGAGGGGGCGGAGCCAUGGUGCAAGGCCCCGCCCCCUCCCCAGCAAGCCCCACCCCCCACCCGACCUCCCGCCUCUCCCCACCAAUCAGCAGCCAGUGGGAGGGGCUUGCGUCCUGCUCAGAAGCCCCUCCCACCCUGACCACGCCCCCGUGCUUUGGCCCCUCCCACCCCAGUGAUGACCACACCCCAUAGGCUCCGCCCACAGGACCCCACCCAAUCAGGCCCCGCCCCUACACGACCCCACCCAAUCAGACUCCACCCACACGACCCCACCCUUUUAGGCCCCGCCCACACGACCCCACCCAGACUCCACCCUAUCAGGCUCCACCCACCCUUAUCUGCGAGGGGGCGUGGCCACUCCUUUGGGGGCGUGUCAUGGGCGGUGGGCGUGGCUCCUCUUGGCCCCGCCCCUUCUUGGCCGGCGGCUCCGCAGGGGAGGGGGGGCGGGCCCGGAGGCGAGGGCUGCGGCGCGGGGGGGCGGGGCAUGGCAGAGCCCCGCCCCUCGCCUGGUUGGCCCCGCCCCUCACCUGGCUGGCCCCGCCCCCUCCAGAGGCCCCGCCCACCGCGGAGGCCCCGCCCCCUGCAGGGGCUCUGCCCCCCUGGCCCCGGGCCAGGCGCUGGCUGCGGCGGGGCCCCUGGGUCACCUGCGGGAUUUGGGGAGGGGUCAUCAGGGUCUGGAGCCCCCCAAGGCCGCGGGGACCCCACCGGGUGCCCCGGGGGUCGCUUGGGACCACCCCGACCCCACUCACGGCACCGCCGGGGGCUGCGCUGGUCCCUGCUCCCUCCUCCUGGGCUGGGGUCACCAGCACCGGCUCGGCUGGGGGGACACGGGUGGCGGGGGUGUCCUGGGGGGGCUCUUCCUCCUCCUCCUCCUCUUCCUCCUCCUUCUUCUUCUUCCUCCUUCUCCUCCUCCUCCUCCUCCAGCUUGGGGUGGCAGAAGAGCUGCGUGGCCUCCUCAGGGUCCCAGCCCAGGGCUGCAUCUGCCAAAAAGCCACGUUGGGGACCUGGGAGGUGACACCCCCCACCCCCAGGGGGACAACACCAAGGUCACCUACCUUCGGUCACCGGUGGCGGCAAGAAGUUCUGGGUGGGCUCCAGGAAGAGG